AAGGCUUUAGCUUAAUUAAAGUGUUUGUUUUGCAUACAAAAGAUGUGGGUUAGUGCCCUGCAAGUCUUA
RNAcentral lists this transfer RNA (69 nucleotides) under Priolepis semidoliata (half-barred goby). Its description in RNAcentral is "tRNA-Ala". It matches the Rfam family "tRNA". Rfam says of the family: Transfer RNA (tRNA) molecules are approximately 80 nucleotides in length. Their secondary structure includes four short double-helical elements and three loops (D, anti-codon, and T loops). Further hydrogen bonds mediate the characteristic L-shaped molecular structure. tRNAs have two regions of fundamental functional importance: the anti-codon, which is responsible for specific mRNA codon recognition, and the 3' end, to which the tRNAs corresponding amino acid is attached (by aminoacyl-tRNA synthetases). tRNAs cope with the degeneracy of the genetic code in two manners: having more than one tRNA (with a specific anti-codon) for a particular amino acid; and 'wobble' base-pairing, i.e. permitting non-standard base-pairing at the 3rd anti-codon position. The record is from RNAcentral. Lineage: Eukaryota; Metazoa; Chordata; Actinopteri; Gobiiformes; Gobiidae.